GAUGAACGCUGGCGGCGUGCCUAAUACAUGCAAGUCGAGCGAACAGACGAGGAGCUUGCUCCUCUGACGUUAGCGGCGGACGGGUGAGUAACACGUGGAUAACCUACCUAUAAGACUGGGAUAACUUCGGGAAACCGGAGCUAAUACCGGAUAAUAUAUUGAACCGCAUGGUUCAAUAGUGAAAGAAGGUUUUGCUGUCACUUAUAGAUGGAUCCGCGCCGCAUUAGCUAGUUGGUAAGGUAACGGCUUACCAAGGCAACGAUGCGUAGCCGACCUGAGAGGGUGAUCGGCCACACUGGAACUGAGACACGGUCCAGACUCCUACGGGAGGCAGCAGUAGGGAAUCUUCCGCAAUGGGCGAAAGCCUGACGAAGCAACGCCGCGUGAGUGAUGAAGGUCUUCGGAUCGUAAAACUCUGUUAUUAGGGAAGAACAAAUGUGUAAGUAACUAUGCACGUCUUGACGGUACCUAAUCAGAAAGCCACGGCUAACUACGUG
Molecule: ribosomal RNA, 497 nt
Filed under: uncultured bacterium
Lineage: Bacteria
Description: partial 16S ribosomal RNA
Rfam family: Bacterial small subunit ribosomal RNA
Source: RNAcentral